CCAGAGGGGCGACGCUCAGAGGGAAGUGGCCGGCCUCCCCUUUCCAAUUCCCCAGCCCCGCACUCCAUCCACUUCAUACUUAUGUGAACAAAAAGUGGCCUUUUCAAAAAAAUAAAGGUUAAGGGAAGAAAAUACCUAAAAUUGGAGGAUUCGUCUGAGCAAAAGAGGUAGGAGUCUCACGGCAAGCAACGCUUUAAAGGAAAACAAACUUUCAUUAUUCAGUCAACAAACACAAGCUUUAACUCUUAGCAAUGGACUAGGCUGGAGGGAAUGUAAAGAUGAAUGAGACGCGUCUCUCACCCUUCGAGAGUCCUACUCAGUGUCCCUUGACACCUGCCAGGAGAGAGUUACUGCACCUUGGUCCCAAACAGACACCUGCCCCAUGCCUUCCUGGGGUUGCUGGGGCCAGAAAGAAUGCCGAAAAACAACCUGCAAGCUUUACAAGGCUCUUCUCACUAAUAGUCCCUGAGACAUGACAUCGAAUCCCUGGACUGCUCAAGAGCGCCUUCUCCUACGUCCUGAUUGGAUUGGCCUACAAUGAUUAUGGUCCCCAAGGCCAGAGCUGUGCCCCUGAAUCCAGGCGCUGCAUUUCCCCAAGGGCACGCUGUCCCGGAGUCAUUGCCCAUCGCCAACUCUCAGUUUCCCCUCAGGGCAGGGCCUAGGCCAAGGGUUCUAGGUUAUGUUCUGAGCUGCAGUAGGAUUCUGUCAAGGCACGUCAGCAUCUCGCAUGGGUUUGGGAGGAGGCUGAGUGGUCGGCUUCGACCCUUCCAGCACCCCUACCGCACUCGAGCUAGACAGAGCACCCCUACUUCCCUCUGUUCGUCAGACUGGCUAAGCCAUAAGAUUGUAUUUGGAGAAAGGGAUUUUCCUGUGAAAGAGAAACACCUUUUGAAAACCACUGAGGAGGUUAUCUGAGACAGCGUGGGGACCACACGAAACAGCAGAGCUGUCAUCUCCACAGCAGAAACCAAAGCCGAUUGUUGUGAAAGGGUCUGGAGAGCAUUUGCCCAUGUUUCCCCACCUCACUGCCAUAGCUGCUGGGACUCCAGAGGCUGAACUGAACUCCGGGGAAGGUGGGCCAACUGGCAAGUAGGGCUGACUGAAAAAAUAGAGGACAGGGCAGAAUUAGAGGGGAAAAAAUGAUAAUGUUUUCUUUUUCCCUUCAGCAGGACUUUCUGAAGCUGAACUCUGCAUAAUAAUAGAGACUCCACAGUAAUCUAAACCGAGGGCCAUCAUCCAAGUCACCUUGCCAGCCAAGCUUUAAAAAGAGCUGUCCAGAAACAGCCAAGAUGGCAGCCCUGUAGCUGGCCGUGUGCAAGUCUGCAUGAUGGAG
Molecule: long non-coding RNA, 1333 nt
Filed under: Equus caballus (horse)
Lineage: Eukaryota; Metazoa; Chordata; Mammalia; Perissodactyla; Equidae
Description: lncRNA (ENSECAG00000051998.1)
Source: RNAcentral